GGUGAUAUAGCUUAGUGAUAGAGUACAUGCUUAGCAUGCAUGAGCCACUGGGUUCAAGCCCAGCAUCAAAA
Molecule: transfer RNA, 71 nt
Filed under: Marmota monax (woodchuck)
Lineage: Eukaryota; Metazoa; Chordata; Mammalia; Rodentia; Sciuridae
Description: tRNA.Ala
Rfam family: tRNA
About the family: Transfer RNA (tRNA) molecules are approximately 80 nucleotides in length. Their secondary structure includes four short double-helical elements and three loops (D, anti-codon, and T loops). Further hydrogen bonds mediate the characteristic L-shaped molecular structure. tRNAs have two regions of fundamental functional importance: the anti-codon, which is responsible for specific mRNA codon recognition, and the 3' end, to which the tRNAs corresponding amino acid is attached (by aminoacyl-tRNA synthetases). tRNAs cope with the degeneracy of the genetic code in two manners: having more than one tRNA (with a specific anti-codon) for a particular amino acid; and 'wobble' base-pairing, i.e. permitting non-standard base-pairing at the 3rd anti-codon position.
Source: RNAcentral